RNAcentral lists this ribosomal RNA (443 nucleotides) under uncultured archaeon. Its description in RNAcentral is "bacterial SSU rRNA". It matches the Rfam family "Archaeal small subunit ribosomal RNA", at positions 15 to 463 of the family's 1478-position model. The record is from RNAcentral.
CGCCGGACCUGACUGCUAUCGGAUUGAUACUAAGCCAUGCGAGUCAUUGUAGCAAUACAAGGCAUACGGCUCAGUAACGCGUAGUCAACCUAACCUAUGGACGGGAAUAACCUCGGGAAACUGAGAAUAAUGCCCGAUAGAACAUUAUGCCUGGAAUGGUUUAUGUUCCAAAUGAUUUAUCGCCGUAGGAUGGGAUUGCGGCCUAUCAGUUUGUUGGUGAGGUAAUGGCCCACCAAGACUAUUACAGGUACGGGCUCUGAGAGGAGUAGCCCGGAGAUGGGUACUGAGACACAGACCCAGGCCCUAUGGGGCGCAGCAGGCGAGAAAACUUUGCAAUGUGCGAAAGCACGACAAGGUUAAUCCGAGUGGUUUCUGCUAAAGAAACCUUUUGUCAGUCCUAGAAACACUGAUGAAUAAGGGGUGGGCAAGUUCUGGUGUCAGCA